UGGAUACCACGGGUGUACUCC
This 21-nucleotide non-coding RNA is filed under the name Arabidopsis thaliana (thale cress). The record is from RNAcentral. Lineage: Eukaryota; Viridiplantae; Streptophyta; Magnoliopsida; Brassicales; Brassicaceae.